CAAGUAGCGCUGCGCUCGAGGCUACUGUAGCGGGCCCAGGCAACAGACACUUUACGGGACAGAGGCAAAUGGCGCUCCAGGCGAGAAUGACUAAACCCAGGAUGAAAAACAAAGGGAAUUAAACCGCUACAACCAGAAUAAAUCUCCAGAGCCAAAACAGCUCAGAGAGUGGUGGCGGUUGCGGGCAAAACCAUUCCACCAGGCUGAUUAAAAAUCACCAAAUAAGAAGAGAAACAAGACAGACAACGUGCAGCUACGUACCAGCACAAAGCAAGUGUUCUUACACCGCAGGGUUACAGCGAGUCACCCACCCUGUCCCCAACGUUUGCAGUCGGCCAUGCUUCAAGGAGCGAAAAUGUACCAGCAAUAAAAAAUAAAAAAAAAAGACAGCUGAGCACGCACAGAUGAGGGGAGAAGCAGAAACGCCAGGUUGUGGUAUGAGCCUACUUGUCCACAGCGCCAAACCAGCUGGCUAUCGUAGCCACCAUGCCACCACGCCAAGCCACAGCCACCACCGAGGAGCAAGGGAGAGGCGAAAGAGUGGAAGUGCCAUUAACGCUCACCUGGAUAUAAAGGUGCGCAUGGUACCGCCCAACAAUUUUUUUAGAGGUUUAGACCCACUGCACUCAACUGACUGCCCAGACCUGUUGUCUACAUCUGCUGGUGACUUUAAUCCAACCAACACAUCAUGAAGGUUAUUUUAACCCGCCAUCAGACUGGAUACCCUGUUACAGGAUAAGUUGACCAUAGGAGUGGGGUAAGUUAAGCCUCAACUUACCCCUGGCCAAAGGGCUCAACUUACCCCAGAACUACUAUUAUGACUUUAUUAGUCCUCUUAGCUAAAAUGGUGGACUUUUAUGCUAGGUUUUUGACCUCAUGUUGUGGCUCAUAGAUACCACAAUUCAUGUAUGAAAGUUUAAAAUGAUAUUUUUUGGUCUGAACACAAUUCUAAUAAAACAUGACAGACUAAAUUCACUUCCAAGAGUGAAAAAUGUAUUUUGGAAAUAAAUGUCUAACCCCUUCACCCAUGUGUUUCUAACCUUCACAGACUCCAUGAAUUGAUGCCCAUCUCCUAAAUAUUUGGUCACUAGAUCAAUUUCUUUUACUAUUUCAAAGCAACUCGGGGUGGCUCAACUUACCCUUUGGCUCAACUUUCGCUCUCCCCUACGCAUGAUGGUGGCUGCAGCAGUGUGCCAGAUCUGUGGCAAAGCUAUAGCUAAAUUAUAGCAUUUUUAACCUUAAUAUAGU
Molecule: long non-coding RNA, 1248 nt
Filed under: Xyrichtys novacula (pearly razorfish)
Lineage: Eukaryota; Metazoa; Chordata; Actinopteri; Labriformes; Labridae
Source: RNAcentral